ACCAAAAUCUCACAUUCCAAAUAGCUUUUCCAGUUCUUCAUUGCUGUUUCUAAGGAGCACACAGAUUUGUUCCACUAUGAAAGGAAAAGGGGCCCCAGGGUCCUCUUAUCAGAGGGAGGCUCAGCUUAUGGACCCCAGCACGUGACCUCACUUCCUUGGCGACAGGUCCAAACAGAACUCGGAACCCUGGAGUCAGUGGGCACCACAGUCUCACCGUGGCUGCCUAGCAGUCACUUGGCUGGAGACAGUCAGCAGCGAACGUGCUGUGCUGCUUUUCCAGGCCUCGAGGCCACAGCCUCAGGAGCCCAAGCAGCUGCUGGACCGGCUCCAGCCCAAGCUGAAGUAUCAGCUGCAGAGCCCAUGCCAGCUCCACCUGAAGCUCCCUGCCCAACUCUGCCACCACAGCCAGAGCCAGCACCAGGAACCCCUUCUCCACCAGCUGCACAGCUGGGGCUCCCGGUGCCUCCUCAGCGGGUGUCAGCUCCUGAGCUCCCCCUGGGGCCAGCUUCUGCCCCAGGCCUGCCGUUCCCCUCCAUUACUGUUGGUCACGUUAAGCCAGGUGCUGUUACGCUUUUGCACUGAGCCCCGCUACUCACUGCCUUGCCGUGAAGAAAGGGUCAUCCAGACAGAGUCGGGCCUCGAGGGGGCAGUUCUGGGUAGAAGCAACUGUGAGAACCAUCUGUGCUUUAUAGAUCCCACGAUAAUGCACCCAGAGGCCGCAGCAACUUCUGCCCAUGAUCAUGGAAUCUGUGGAACGGACCUGUGA
Molecule: long non-coding RNA, 766 nt
Filed under: Fukomys damarensis (Damara mole-rat)
Lineage: Eukaryota; Metazoa; Chordata; Mammalia; Rodentia; Bathyergidae
Description: lncRNA (ENSFDAG00000027989.1)
Source: RNAcentral